GUCAGGAUGGCCGAGUGGUCUAAGGCGCCAGACUCAAGUUCUGGUCUCCUGAUGGAGGCGUGGGUUCGAAUCCCACUUCUGACA
This 84-nucleotide transfer RNA is filed under the name Otolemur garnettii (small-eared galago). RNAcentral describes it as "tRNA-Leu (CAA) (tRNA-Leu-CAA-4-1)". It matches the Rfam family "tRNA". Rfam says of the family: Transfer RNA (tRNA) molecules are approximately 80 nucleotides in length. Lineage: Eukaryota; Metazoa; Chordata; Mammalia; Primates; Galagidae. The record is from RNAcentral.